RNAcentral lists this unclassified non-coding RNA (200 nucleotides) under Hypocreales sp. RNAcentral's name for it is "partial internal transcribed spacer 2". The record is from RNAcentral. Lineage: Eukaryota; Fungi; Ascomycota; Sordariomycetes; Hypocreales.
UUAAGUUCAGCGGGUAUCCCUACCUGAUCCGAGGUCAACCUUAUAAAAUUGUGCCCUAGGGCUACGUUUUGACGGCGUGGUCGUGCUGUGCUCUAGUGCGAGGUGUGCUACUACGCAAGGGAGGCUGCAGCGAGACCGCUAUUGAUUUUCAGGGCCGGCCGCGCUCUAAGGGCGGGAGGCCGUACUCCAACACCAAGCCC